Non-coding RNA from Triticum aestivum (bread wheat), 146 nucleotides. NCBI's taxonomy places the organism in Eukaryota, Viridiplantae, Streptophyta, Magnoliopsida, Poales, Poaceae. The record is from Rfam.
AGCCUGGUUAAGAUUCUUAGACCAUAGGAUGUUCUGCAAGUGUCCUCCUUUGCCCAGAACCUUUGUAGUUUGGUCUGGGCUGGAAUCCCCAGCCGCACUUUGUUUUUUCAGCUGUGUGUGUAAUUUUAAACAGGUUCCUGAGGGAU